RNAcentral lists this long non-coding RNA (3615 nucleotides) under Sus scrofa (pig). RNAcentral describes it as "lncRNA (ENSSSCG00015042884.1)". The record is from RNAcentral. Lineage: Eukaryota; Metazoa; Chordata; Mammalia; Artiodactyla; Suidae.
AGACCUUGGAGAGAGGCUGCCAAGAUGAAUGGAAAGAAGCCAGGCUCAGAGCUUGAAGCACGCUCUGUGACUUGCAAGCAGGGGAAUUCAUCCCAGCCUCUCUGAGCCUCAACUUCCUCAUCUUUUUUUUUUUUUUCUUUUAGGGCCGCACCCUCAGCAUAUGGAAGUUCCUAGGUUAGGGAUCCAAUUGGAGCUGCAGCUGCCAGCCGACGGCACAGCCGCAGCAACAUGGGAUCGAGCUGCCUCUGUGACCUACGCCACAGUUCACAGCAAUGCCUGAUCCUUAACCCACUGAGCGAGGCCAGGGAUCGAACCUGUAUCCUCAUGGAUGCUAGUCAAGUUCAUAACCCGAUGAGUGACAGAGGGAACUCCCUUAACUUCCUCAUCUUUAAAGAAAGGUCACAGGAGGACCGAGGUGUGGUGCGGAUAAUGUGGGCCGAGAGAGAUGAAAAGGCUGCUAGGAUAACACUGCACAUCGUCUAGUUGAAUAAAUGUUUUCCCAUCCAUGCCCUGCCAUCUGGAGUCCAGGCUCCACAGUCGGAUUUCAGCUCUGGGUGAUGGCAGGAAAGACAGUCAGAGCUGCGUAAAUGAUUGUGAGAAUCUCACCCCGAUUGCCUCCUCUCCAGGAUCUUUCUGGAGCACCUGCUGUCCGACUCUAGCUUCUUCGGGUUCCAGGGAGGGACCAGCUGGAGGUGGGGCCAUGGACAUCCUGUUAUCAGGGGCAAGACUCCAGUGGGUGCUAAAAACAAAUGCCCAGGCACCAGGCAGCACUUAAGGGUGAUGUAUACACAAGAUACACAGGUGACAACUUCAGCAUCCUCUGCUAAGCCUCAUCCCUGCUCCAUCCAUUCAUCAUCAUCAAUAGAGUCUUUUGACACCCAUUUAUUGAAGCCUGCUGUGUACCAGGCUUAUGCGGGCUGGAGAACACAAGAGGUAUAAGUCCCCCACUCUUGUUCUAGGAGCCACAAAGAACAAGUCUGUUUUCCCUUCUUGUCAGACCUCUCCCUAAAACCCCCCACGUUAUCUUGUUUCCCAUCCUGCUUGUUCUCCUGGCUGCUCUCUGUCUGCGACCUUUAUCCAUAAGUUAUAAUCAGACUCAUCCACUUUCGCCCUGAUAUGUAAUCCCCCCAAACUGGUGACAUUCCAUGAAAUGGGAGAAGGGGGUCUCAGAAUCGCAGAGGAUAGAGUUUCAGUUUCCAGAUGCUUGGUGUCUCCAUUAGGAGAACCAAUUACAAAAAAUUGAAUCAGCCUUAUCAUGUGGUCAGAUCUCUUAAACCAUCCCUAUGCAAGGCACUGUUAUAUUGUGCCAUGAAAAAUAGUUCACAAAGUCAAAAUACCAUCCCCAGAAAUUAGCCAUGGUGGUGAUGAAGUUUAAUUAAGUCAGAACAAGUCAUGGGCGGGUCUUUGUAGAGGGAAGAAAGCCAAUAGCCUCAGUGUUAGAUGGGAAGAGAGAAUUGUCAAAGUGAACUCCGAGUUAGUCUCUGGCUCUUUCUUCUUUUCUCACUGAUAUAAACUGCACAUCUGUAGCUUUGUACACCGACAGGCGAGUUAGUAUCUCCAACCCAGGCACAUCUCUAGGGGUCCAUAUUUGCAUAUCCAAUGGCUUCUUAACACUUUCUCUUAGGUGUGUCAAAAUAUUCAAUGGAAGCCAUAGUCUUCAUGAAUGCCUUCAAAGUUUGGUUCUUGUUCAGAUUCCCCUUUUAUUAGCAAAGUCACCAUUAUCCAUCACGUGCACAGAGCACAAGCUUAGUCUCUUUUGCAACAUCUUUUUCUCUCUCCAUCCUUCAUAGUCCAGGUCAUCACCAGCUGGUUGAUUUUAGCCCCUAAGUCACUUGAGUUCAUCUCCUUCUCUUACUCCUUCCAAUAUUUUAGUCCAAGCCACCAUCAUCUUUUCUCAAAAACUCUCAACGGUCUCCCAGUUGGUCUUGUUGCAUCCUGUCUCUUCCUCCAUGUGAGCCUGAGGGAUGUUCCCCAAAUGAACACCUGAUCCAAUCAUCCCGUCAUUGACCUUGUCCUCAUAGGAACCUACUAAAACUCAUUGGUGGCAUCUCCUUAUGUCAUUCAACAAAGAUAAAGCCCCGGAGAUGGACACAAAGUCAACGACCCCUUUUCCCUCUGCCUCACUGAGCCUGGGAACUGAGGUUGGAGGAAGAGUCCUCUCUCAAGGUCAAAUAUGGAGCUAUCACCAGCCCAAGGGGAAGUGGAUGCUGGCCAGGUACAGACAGCAGACAUCCACCAUAAGGGCAAUCUCUCCAGGGAGAAUUUCUCAAGGGAGUACUUUAUAAAGCAGUAGUGGUUUCAAGACCCUAGACAGGUGAGUUGAGAUAUUGAUUUCAGCAAGAGACUUAGAGGCUGAAGGUUUAAGGGAAAGCUACGGCUAAAUAGAAUCGAGGUACAUAUACCAAGUUCAGGGCAACCCUAUUAAGAUCACACUAGAUAGUGAGGCCAAAGCACCCAGCAUGCAUCCUACUGCUGAAGCAUUUCAGUUCGUGCAGCUAAACAGGCCUGGGGAAGGCUGGGGCUGACAGAUGUCUGGCAUGGCUGCAUCACACCGAACCUCGGUUGGCUUCUCCCUGCUCAAAAACCAUCUGUUCUAUAAUGUUUUCUAGAAGUGAACUGGGGUUUGAUGUGAUUCUGACCAGUCUGUAAUUCCUGGGAGUCAGGCUUGAAUCUUUGCUCUUGUCUGAAAAUGAGCUUAUUAGCUCUUCUUCUUCUCCUGGCAUCUUUCUUACCUACCUACCCUCAAUGUUUUCUGCUUCCUUUCUUGAGGUUCAACUUCAGGUUGAGGUACAAAUUCAUAUCAGUGUUUAAGCCACUGAUUAAAGCCCUGGAGGAGAAAGGAAGGCCAGACAUAUGUUCUUCCUUUCCCAUCCAUCUUCCCCACUUGUUUUUGAAAACAAAAUCAAAACCCAAACUAACCAACAAACAAAGCCCCAGGCCACUUCUCUGUUUAACAAGCUCCAGUUUUCUAUGGACUGAAGUUCACCUCUUCUCAAGUGCUGCAUGAACUUCUCUGUAACAUCUUGUAGGGUUUCUGGGGUUACAGGCACAGAAACCUAUCUCAGAAUGACGAAUGCCUUAAAAAGAACACCUUGGGGAAACCUCAUGGAAUGGAAGUAAUAGCUGAACAAAGGGAUCUAAGAGAGGACUGGACCCAGAAGACCCCCAAUACCCCCAGAGAAUAGGACAUAAGAGACAACCAUUUCAAGACCCCAUGGCCAGUCCAAAACUUUUCCUUCAGUCCCCCCCCCCACCCCAUUCAUGAUUCAAAUUCCUAGGAACUCCUCUGCAUUGGGUGGGUUCUUGGUGGGGUUACCCAUCAAAGCAUCCUAUAUCCCUUGGUAAAGAGCAGUGACCAUCUUGGUUCAGAAGCGCAGUGCCAUUCUUAAGCUUUGCCACCUGGAUAAAACUCAUUGGUGGCGGUACCUGGAGUUCCUUUGCGGCUCAGUGGUUAACUAACCCAACUAGGAUCCAUGAGGAUGCAGGUUCGAUCCGUGGCCUCACCCAGUGGGUUAAGGAUCUGGUGUUGCUGUAAGCUGUGGUAUAGAUCACAGACACAACUCGGAUCCCUCAUUGCUAUGACUGUGGCAUAGGCCAGCAGCUGUAACCCUAGCC